Molecule: ribosomal RNA, 373 nt
Filed under: Ralstonia sp.
Lineage: Bacteria; Pseudomonadati; Pseudomonadota; Betaproteobacteria; Burkholderiales; Burkholderiaceae
Description: bacterial SSU rRNA
Rfam family: Bacterial small subunit ribosomal RNA
Source: RNAcentral
AGCUAUCGGAUACUGGGCGUAAGCGUGCGCAGGCGGUUGUGCAAGACCGAUGUGAAAUCCCCGGGCUUAACCUGGGAAUUGCAUUGGUGACUGCACGGCUAGAGUGUGUCAGAGGGGGGUAGAAUUCCACGUGUAGCAGUGAAAUGCGUAGAGAUGUGGAGGAAUACCGAUGGCGAAGGCAGCCCCCUGGGAUAACACUGACGCUCAUGCACGAAAGCGUGGGGAGCAAACAGGAUUAGAUACCCUGGUAGUCCACGCCCUAAACGAUGUCAACUAGUUGUUGGGGAUUCAUUUCCUUAGUAACGUAGCUAACGCGUGAAGUUGACCGCCUGGGGAGUACGGUCGCAAGAUUAAAACUCAGGAAUUGACGGAA